Molecule: long non-coding RNA, 1656 nt
Filed under: Cucumis sativus (cucumber)
Lineage: Eukaryota; Viridiplantae; Streptophyta; Magnoliopsida; Cucurbitales; Cucurbitaceae
Description: long non-coding RNA (CSAT_LNC001098)
Source: RNAcentral
AUCUUCACGAUAGAACCCAAAAAACCCAACCCUAACCUCAUUCUUCUCCAUUUCCAUGAACUUUCUUCUCAGCGAUGGAGACCCAUGGCAACAUCAAAUCUAAACAUUUCGAAGAUAACGACCCAUACUCGUUUUCUCAUCGACGGGGACCCACACUCGUUUUAAAGAUUUUGAAGACAGGCUAGUGUUUAACACCUUUCACUUUUGUGUUUUUCUCUUUUAUGAGUUUAAUCAAUAGGUGUAAGAAAUUGAACAAAAUUUCACAUUUUCUUUGAUGUAACAAUUUAAUUUAAUAGGGAGGAAGUUCUGAUAGUGGUAGAAGGUCCUCUUGUAAGUUCUUAUACUUCUUUCUGUGGUUUUUCUUUUUAUCUUAUCAAUUUAAUUUCAACUAUAACAAACUUUCACAUUCUUUCAUAUUUUUCUAUUCAAUUUGAUUAUGAAUGGUUUGUUUAACCGAGAAGUAGACAUUAAAAUACACAUAGAAAUAGAAAAAUAAUCUAUUUAAUCCAUUCCAUUGCCAAUUCUUGCAUGGUUUGUUUAACAGUGUUUUUUAGAAUGUGGAUUGUGGCUCUGUUUUAUACAAUUUUUUUCUAAGCAUAUUUUGAUUGUGGAGCUGGAAAGGGACUUUGGAAUCCAACCCAUUUGCUUUAAUUGCACAAAUUGCUAGUGGAAGAAAAUAAAGUUGCUACUCAUGAAGUCCAACUAAUGGUUUGCUAUUAUUAUUAGCCUAUUUGUCCAACUCUAUUGUCAAUUAUGAGAAACUUCCCCCCUGAGUUUGGUAUAUUAUAUAGUGAAUAGAAAUAUUAUUAUCUCCUUCUUGGUAAUGAAAAUAAUAAAUAGGAUAAGGAUAUGGUAUAUUGUGACAAGCCACGAGCUUAGGAGCUGAAAUUAACUUUGGGGUAUCAAAGAUUGUGUAAUUUUGUAAAUGGGCAUUUGAUUUUGUGAGAUGUGAAGUUUUGAGAAGUUUGAAUGAUGAUGGUAAUGGAGAAAAUUUUAUAGGAAUUAUUAAGGAUAUUCUUACAAAAUCCAACAUUGAUUCCAUUGAAGUUGCACAAAAUUUGGUCUCUCAUUUGAUGAGUUUCAGCUCACUUUGUUGAAGGGUUUCAUUGACUGCUUGAGCUUGAAGGAAAUUUAAAGGGAAAGAGAAAGAAGACAGGAUUUGUGGGAGUUGUUUGAAGGAGAAAGGAUUUGAUAAGCUUUUUCUUUUGGUAAAAAUGGAGGGGAUUUUGAAGGGACUCCUUUAGAAAAAUAAAUUGGGAGUUUUUUCUCAACUAAUUUUAGGUCAUUGAUUGUGAAGGGUUUAUAUUGUGAUUCAUAUGAGAUGAAGAAGAAGAGUGAUCAUUAUGGUUAUUAUUGUUCUUCAUUGGAAAUUCAUCGUCUUGGAAAGUUUGAAUAUUAUCUCUAAUUAUGGUCACCAUUUUUAUGAUGGGAUUUUGUACGGUACUUGAUUUUGUACUAUUCUAGUUCAGAAAAUUGAAAACAUUGGAACAUAUAGGAAUAAUGUACUAUUCUUGGGUCUAUUUUAUAAUAAUUUUAACUUGUGAGCUUAUGCAGGAUCAAUGUUUGUUAUUAGUCUUUUGUUAACGAGGCAUUUGACCCAUUUCCUUGUUGGAAAGUAAGUCCAAUAAACUCUUAUGAUAACUAUUGUAUAACUUG